RNAcentral lists this long non-coding RNA (626 nucleotides) under Anas platyrhynchos platyrhynchos (common mallard). RNAcentral describes it as "lncRNA (ENSAPLG00000028950.1)". Lineage: Eukaryota; Metazoa; Chordata; Aves; Anseriformes; Anatidae. The record is from RNAcentral.
AACCUUUUGCCCUUAGUGCUAUCAGUUUCUCUGAAGGAUAGUAUCUCUGAAGUCCUCGUCUAGGCUUAGCUGUAGAAAAAUGAAACGGCAGUGUGGUGCAUAUUUAAACAUGACAUAGCAGGCGAGGAAAGAAAGUGAUCUGUCUUUUGAUUGAAGAUGAAAUAGCUCCUAAACAAACAAGUGGAAAAUUGGGUCAGCUAUCUCCAAAUACAAAAUAUUUUGAAAAAUUGAGACAAAAGCAUUAGGCUCAUGUUUGAAUAUGGCUACUCAAAGUAAUCAUCUUUAAACUGUCACUAGGGGGACUUUGAAGAUACCUGACUUUUCAGACGGCUUAUCUGUGUGUUUCCCUGAAGUCUGCCUUGCAGGACUGAGGACAAGGGUUUUGCACAUUCCUCUCAGAUGUUUCUCUGUGGUCAGGAUAAGAAUGUAAUAAUUUAACAAGCCAAGAACCUAAACAGCAUGUCCUUUCGGGACAGGAGUGUGAUGUGACAAAGGAAGCCACUAGGGUUGUGGAAGAGGGGGAACAGGCAAAGCCAUGCCAUUUUCUCUUCAUUCCAGUGGAUAAGGUAGCCCCCAGAGGUGAGGACAGUCUGUGAGUAUCUGCUUCUUUCUGCAACUGUGCACUG